Molecule: ribosomal RNA, 479 nt
Filed under: uncultured bacterium
Lineage: Bacteria
Description: partial 16S ribosomal RNA
Rfam family: Bacterial small subunit ribosomal RNA
Source: RNAcentral
GAUGAACGCUAGCGGGAGGCCUAACACAUGCAAGCCGAGCGGUAUUGUUUCUUCGGAAAUGAGAGAGCGGCGUACGGGUGCGUAACACGUGUGCAACCUGCCUUUAUCUGGGGGAUAGCCUUUCGAAAGGAAGAUUAAUACUCCAUAAUAUAUUGAACGGCAUCGUUUAAUAUUGAAAGCUCCGGCGGGUAGAGAUGGGCACGCGCAAGAUUAGCUAGUUGGUGAGGUAACGGCUCACCAAGGCGAUGAUCUUUAGGGGGCCUGAGAGGGUGAUCCCCCACACUGGUACUGAGACACGGACCAGACUCCUACGGGAGGCAGCAGUGAGGAAUAUUGGUCAAUGGGUGCAAGCCUGAACCAGCCAUCCCGUGUGAAGGACGACUGCCCUAUGGGUUGUAAACUUCUUUUGUAUAGGGAUAAACCUACCCUCGAGAGGGUAGCUGAAGGUACUAUACGAAUAAGCACCGGCUAACUCCGUG